Molecule: long non-coding RNA, 2650 nt
Organism: Acyrthosiphon pisum (pea aphid)
Lineage: Eukaryota; Metazoa; Arthropoda; Insecta; Hemiptera; Aphididae
Exons: 4
Source: RefSeq, a predicted model, not a curated record
GUAUUUACUUAGUACUUACUCUUAUUCUUUUAUAAGUGUAUUAUGAGGAACCUAUUUUUAUUUUCCAUAGAAUUUCUGAGAUUCCUUUUAUAAAUGUAUCUAAUUAGUUUUAUAUUCUGAGCAGAGCAAUGGACAUAUUGAUUUUACAACGACGUGUGUUUGUUUGUAUCUGUUACGGUUACCACAUAUUUUAGAGCAGUAAAAAUGCUUUGACCUUUAAAUUUUAGAGUGAUUACUACAUAUAUUCACCUUUAUGCAGUACCUACAAAAUAGUAAACAUUUACCAGUACAUUAUAUGACAGAUUUAAUAGAAACGAUCAUAUUUAUUAUAAACUAUAUAUUUGUUUUUAUAGUAUAUGAUGGUAAGUAUUUAUGAUUUUUAUAUAAAUUUGUCAUAUCUAAGUAGGUAAGAAAAUAUUCUUGAAGGGUAUCAACCUCCCUAUGGCUAUAUGUUACAAACACUAUUAUCGUAGACCUUAGUUACAUUGCAUUAUAAAAUGGUUACAAAAUCUUUAGAAAGUUUUUUAUGAAAUUUAUGAUCUCAGUGUUAUGGAAUGGGAAAGCUAAGUUAUAGUUUUGUAUUCAGUCUCAAAUCUAUAUUACCUAUAUAUUGUAUUAAAAUAAUUAAUAUUUAUGUUCGUGUUUAUGUUAACAAUACUUGAAUUAUUUAUAUUAAGGGAUAAGAUAGGUACAUGAUAAUAAUUUAUAACUAUUAUAUUAUUGUCAUAUUAAUUUGUAAAUAAAACAUGAUAGUUUAUUGAUCUUAACCUCAAUAAAACAAUAAUCAAAUAAAUUUGUAGUCGUGUACUCGUGUAUUAUAAACGGUUGUUAUGCGAUCAAUUAAAUAUUAUUUCUAACAUUUUUGUAGAUGAUUAUAGUAAGUUGAAAGUAUGUUAUAUUUUCAUGGCACCUAUGUUGAAGAAGGUUUAUUCCAAUUAACAAAACAAUAAAAUUUAACCACACCUAUUUGUUUUUAUUGUAUAGAAUACUUAGGAGAAAUUUACAUAAAAAUGAUUACUGACGGAAUGUUAACAGUUUUAUUUUAUACGAUAAUUUAUUAGAUUAAUCUCACAUGUAUUAUGCCAGUAGACGUAAAGUUUAAGAACUAAGACUCCAACGUUUCUAUAUUGUAUUAAAUAUAUUAUUUAGAUAGUGAAUUGGCAUUUUUUUUAAGUGCGUACAUUCAAUUUUUAGGGACAAAAAAUUGUUAGUUAUAACUUAUUAAAUUUCAAUAUUGGUAUCAAACCACAGUUCGUAAUUUUCAGUUCUAUCUUAUAUUUCUAUUUUAUGACCUUAUAGCAGAACAAUGGAUAUUAUUAAUAUUUUAUAAUUAUUAACUACAAUUUUUAUUUUAUUUCAGUUACUAAAGGUAUGUAAACAGUUUUAUUUUCUAAAAUAUUUCUUAUGGUCUUUAAUCUUUAUUCUUAUAAAGUUUUAUAUUAUUAAAAGUUAGGAAUGUUUGGAUUUUCCAACGAUAUUUUUUCUAUUUAGGAACUGAGAGCUAAACUAUAAUAUACAAAUUAUAAACAAAUAGUUAUUUUAAUUAACAUAAUUAACAUUAUGAGUUGCAUUAUAUAUAAUUAAAAUAAGUAUGCAGUUAUAAUUUUUUUCAUAAUCAGUACAUCGAUGUAGGUACUCGGUGGCUGAGUUUAACGUUUGCGCAUUGUUAGUGACCCAAGUAGGUACUACAUUUUGGAAGUCAUUUGCGCAUUAUGUGUUUAACAACGCUGUAUUUGUAUUUUGUGCGUUAGAUAUCAUCGAUACUGUUAUAACUUAUAAUAAUAUGCUGGUAGAGUACAAAACGAAUUUUUAAUAUUUUAAAAUGUAUGUUUGAAUGCAAUGAUGGUAAAACAUAACUUUAUAGAGACCUAUCACCUAGAGAAAACGAUUAUGAACGGGAAUGGUCAGUCAGAUUGAAGUCUAAGGACAUUAUAAUAUAAUUGUAUACAUUGUUUAGGUACUGUUUUAACUUUUAAGUUGUAUUUUGGUUGUACAAUAUUGUAAUCGUGUUUACCAAAAACAAUGACAACUCUCAAGUUGCAACUGUGGUGCGACGUAUCUACAUAAUAAGUUAUAGUUGUUUAUCUUCUAAUAUAAUAUUAUGAGUGAUAGUGAAAAUAUAAUAAUAAUAUGAACUAUGUAUUUUCUAUUUUGUAGAUACUGAGCUGAGUAAUGAAUAUUAUAUUGAUUUUACAAUGAUCUGUAUUUUUUUUUUUUAAAUUUAUGUCUAUAUACAAUAUACAUACCUAAUAAGUAGUCGAAAUAAUUCUCCGAUUUUCAACUACAGUAUAUUGUUCCAUGGAAAGAGAAAUCAGUUUGUGCACUGGGUCAACAUUCAAAACUCCUUAGUUUUAAAAAGCUCCGGAAAAAAUUAAAAAUAAUUAAGGAAAAACGAGAAUUUUUCCGUAAAAUUGGUUUUCGUCAAAAUCGAUUUUGGUUUUUGAUGUAACUCUAAAACAAUUUACUGUAGCUACUAGAUAUUUGAACUAUACGUUUAUAUUAGCAUUUUCUAUACAAGAUAUAAUUUUAAUCAUAUGUUGACUCAUGUUGAGCUAUUUAAAGGCAUAUGCAAUUUUUGAUCAUUAUUUUUUUAGCUAAUAUCGUUACAAAUAUGUUCGUUUGGUCGAGAAAUUUGAAAAUAUAAUACAAG